AAGUAAAAGUCGUACAAGGUUCCGUAGGUGAACCUGCGGAAGGAUCAUUAUUAAUUUCUGCGCGAUUUUUUUUUGCGCAUGUAUUUAAAACCCACAUUCUUUUUUGAAAAAUUGACAUAUUUUUUACUUGAAAUUAAGUAAUUAAAAAGAUCACUUUCAACAACGGAUCUCUUGGCUCUCGCAUCGAUGAAGAACGUAGCAAAGUGCGAUAAGUAGUGUGAAUUGCAGAAUUCCGCGGAUCAUCGAAUUUUUGAACGCAAAUUGCACUCUUCGAUUUCGAAGAGUAUGCCUGUUUGAGGGUCGUCAAAAUAAAAAAUCGAUUCGUUACUUUUGUAACAUUUCGGAAUUGAGUCGUCUUGCAUCUUUGAUUCAAGAGGCUUAAAAUUGAUCACUUUUGGUAUGAUUUGAGUGUACUUAAGAUUUCUUUAUCGCGCUCGAUGAAUAUCGGACAUUUUCAUUAGGAUGACCAUUGAUCAUGGUUUCAUUCCUAUAAUCAUUUCAUGAUACGACCUCAAAUCAGGUAGGAAUACCCGCUGAACUUAAGCAUAUCAAUAAGCG
RNAcentral lists this ribosomal RNA (558 nucleotides) under uncultured Glomus. RNAcentral's name for it is "eukaryotic LSU rRNA". The stretch from base 152 to 303 matches the Rfam family "5.8S ribosomal RNA". The record is from RNAcentral. Lineage: Eukaryota; Fungi; Glomeromycota; Glomeromycetes; Glomerales; Glomeraceae.